RNAcentral lists this ribosomal RNA (255 nucleotides) under uncultured bacterium. Its description in RNAcentral is "partial 16S ribosomal RNA". It matches the Rfam family "Bacterial small subunit ribosomal RNA", at positions 29 to 211 of the family's 1533-position model. The record is from RNAcentral.
AACGAACGCUGGCGGCAGGCCUAACACAUGCAAGUCGAGCGCCCCCUUUCAGAGGUCAGAUUUCAGAUGCCGGAUGUCAGAAGCGCUGUGCGUGGAUCACGCGCGGUGCGUUUCUGAUAUCUGUCAUCUGACCUCUGACCUCUGAUGGGGGGAGCGGCGGACGGGUGAGUAACGCGUGGGAAUUUUCCUCAAGGUAGGGAACAACUCAGGGGAAACUGGGCUAAUACCCUAUGAUGCAGAGAUGCCAAAGAUUUA